This 331-nucleotide ribosomal RNA is filed under the name uncultured bacterium. RNAcentral describes it as "bacterial SSU rRNA". It matches the Rfam family "Bacterial small subunit ribosomal RNA", at positions 568 to 899 of the family's 1533-position model. The record is from RNAcentral.
CGCGUAGGUGGUAGUGCAAGUCUGAGGUGGAAUCCCAGGGCUUAACCCUGGAACUGCCUUGGAAACUGCACUACUUGAGUCAGUGAGGGGAGGGUAGAAUUCCUGGUGUAGCGGUGAAAUGCGUAGAUAUCAGGAGGAAGGCCGGUGGCGAAGGCGGCCCUCUGGCGCUGAACUGACACUGAGGCGCGAAAGCGUGGGUAGCAAACAGGAUUAGAUACCCUGGUAGUCCACGCCCUAAACGGUGGGUACUAGGUGUAGGGCUCGUAAGGGUUCUGUGCCGAAGCGAAAGCAUUAAGUACCCCGCCUGGGGAGUACGGCCGCAAGGUUGAAA